CAUUAAAGAGUAAGGGUGCUCAGCGCCCGACCUCCAACCCUUUGUUGUUAAAACUACCUUGUUGCUUUGGCGGGACCGCUCGGUCUCGAGCCGCUGGGGAUUCGUCCCAGGCGAGCGCCCGCCAGAGUUAAACCAAACUCUUGUUAUUUAACCGGUCGUCUGAGUUAAAAUUUUGAAUAAAUCAAAACUUUCAACAACGGAUCUCUUGGUUCUCGCAUCGAUGAAGAACGCAGCGAAAUGCGAUAAGUAAUGUGAAUUGCAGAAUUCAGUGAAUCAUCGAAUCUUUGAACGCACAUUGCGCCCCUUGGUAUUCCGAGGGGCAUGCCUGUUCGAGCGUCAUUACACCACUCAAGCUAUGCUUGGUAUUGGGCGUCGUCCUUAGUUGGGCGCGCCUUAAAGACCUCGGCGAGGCCACUCCGGCUUUAGGCGUAGUAGAAUUUAUUCGAACGUCUGUCAAAGGAGAGGAACUCUGCCGACUGAAACCUUUAUUUUUCUAGGUUGACCUCGGAUCAGGUAGGGAUACCCGCUGAACUUAAGCAUAUCAAUAAGCGGAGGAAAAGAAACCAACAGGGAUUGCCCUAGUAACGGCGAGUGAAGCGGCAACAGCUCAAAUUUGAAAGCUAGCCUUCGGGUUCGCAUUGUAAUUUGUAGAGGAUGAUUUGGGGAAGCCGCC
Molecule: ribosomal RNA, 673 nt
Filed under: fungal sp.
Lineage: Eukaryota; Fungi
Description: eukaryotic LSU rRNA
Rfam family: 5.8S ribosomal RNA (bases 186-339)
Source: RNAcentral